Molecule: ribosomal RNA, 253 nt
Filed under: uncultured bacterium
Lineage: Bacteria
Description: partial 16S ribosomal RNA
Rfam family: Bacterial small subunit ribosomal RNA
Source: RNAcentral
UACAGAGGUGGCUAGCGUUGUUCGGAAUUACUGGGCGUAAAGGGCGCGUAGGCGGUCUUGUAAGUCUUGUGUGAAAUCCCUCGGCUUAACUGAGGAACUGCACGAGAUACUGCGAGACUUGAGUUCGGGAGAGGAAAGCGGAAUUCCGGGUGUAGCGGUGAAAUGCGUAGAUAUCCGGAGGAACACCGGUGGCGAAGGCGGCUUUCUGGACCGACACUGACGCGGAGGCGCGAAAGCUAGGGGAGCAAACGGG